Molecule: long non-coding RNA, 830 nt
Organism: Cyprinus carpio carpio
Lineage: Eukaryota; Metazoa; Chordata; Actinopteri; Cypriniformes; Cyprinidae
Source: Ensembl
GCUAUUGUCCACUGGGUGGCAGUAAAGCACCGCCUUAAAUGAUGACUCGCUGACAGCGGUUGUUGACUCACAACGGGCCAAUGUAGACUAAUUAAAAACAUACAAAGGCAGUGUUUUGAUACAUAUUUUUCUUUUAACCAUCGUGCUAUUGUUACCAUAUUGGAACGACAAAUCUUUUUCAACCUUGUAGCCAGAGAAAAUAUGACAGCAAAAUAAUAGGCAUUGGAUGGAACAGCAGUUUCCUCUGCGAUUAAUCCAGAAAUCUUAUUCAGGUGCUUCCAAUUUAAAAUGGCUUUGAUUAGUGGCCUGUUUAUGUAACAGAGAAAGUUUGAGACAAGAGUCCAAGAUUCACAAGAGUUUGUCACAAACGUAUUGCAUUUAUUAUGCUGUAUACUUCACUAUAUCAAACAUAUCAGUUUUAUGUGUCAUUAACCCUUUUUACUACUUGUUUUUUCGCUCCUAAGUUACUUCAUUUAACACAUGCGCUCACAAAUCUAGCUCCUCUGUGACUCAUGAGCCUCUGAGUUCCUGAAGACCUGGUCAUCAUGGAUAAAAGAGCUGGAGAAGAUGUUGGAAAUACUGUUCCACUGAAUGCUGUAUUAUGGAAACAGACUCCACAGGGAGCAGAGACCCCAUCGAUCAGCUUUCCUGUUAAUCACAUGCUUUGUUGGUAAAAUAAACCCCCAAAUCUCACAAUGCUCCACUUGCUUUCUUCUUCUACCUGGCCUGUACAAGUCCUUCUUGUUCUCACAGAAGAAUGCUGUUGUCCCAUCAGAUUAAGCAGAAGAGAAACGGCAUAGUAGCGUGAGCCACAGUCCUGUCCCAUCCCG